Molecule: long non-coding RNA, 397 nt
Organism: Schistocerca cancellata (South American locust)
Lineage: Eukaryota; Metazoa; Arthropoda; Insecta; Orthoptera; Acrididae
Exons: 3
Source: RefSeq, a predicted model, not a curated record
CGCGCCCUCGUCGGACUCAGGGCCGUGGAGCGCGGCAACCACAGCGCGCGCCCCAGCUUCCAGACCGUCACCGGCGUGCCGCUGAGCUGCUACCUGUACCGCGCGUGGGCGCCGCGGCACCCUCGCACCACCGGUCCAGACAACGGCUGCGUCACGCUGGACUCCAGCGGCCGCUGGAGAACCACGCGCUGCGCCCAGCGGCACGCCUUCCUCUGCGAGCUCUUGCCUCCUGAAGGCCGUUCUCCACGCUCCGGUGCUAUAAAAGGUGACCUGACAGAGGGAAGAAUCACUUCUGAGGACGUAACGGUUCUGGAUUACUGCAGUAAAAAUGACUCACUGUUAAGAAAAAAGCAGCCAGAUUUAUGGGCCAGAGAGCUAAAAUAAACAUAAGUAUUCA